RNAcentral lists this long non-coding RNA (382 nucleotides) under Mus musculus (house mouse). RNAcentral's name for it is "long non-coding RNA chr5:93195797-93196179". Lineage: Eukaryota; Metazoa; Chordata; Mammalia; Rodentia; Muridae. The record is from RNAcentral.
AUGCCUAAAUUAAAGGAACUUGUUUCUUCAAGCUCUUCAGGCAGUGAUUUGGACAGGGAAGUUCAAAAAAAGUUAAAGAGGAAAAAGCAAGUGGUUCCAGAGAAACCCGUGAAGCAGCAGCAGCCUGGUGAGCCUUCUAGAGCGCUGGCAUCCUCCAAGCAGAGCAGCAGCAGCAGAGAUGACAACAUGCUCCAGAUUGGAAAGACGAGAUACGUCAGUGUUCAAGACGUUAAAGGAAAAAUUCAAUUGAUAUUAGAGAACGUUGGAUGGACUCAGAAGGUGAAAUGAAACAGGGAGAAAAGGUAUUUCUUUAAACAUGGAACAAUGGAGCCAGCUGAAGGAACAGAUCUCUGACACAGAUGAUACAGUAAGAAAGCUGUAA